GAAAACCUUACAAGUUCUGGACCAACGAGACUCCACAGCUCAUACUUCUUCUUUAUGUCCAGCUGGAAACCGAGCAUGUUGUGAACCAGCCUUGAAGCCCAAUCAAAUCCCAGCUCUUGGAACUUGAUGAAAACUCCCAACUUCGACUCCUUCAGCUUUUCAUAUUCGUCAACAUGAAGAGAUUUCUUUAAAGCAGCAUGCAACGUCCAACAAGUAUGAUACGAAAUGCUAUGCACUUCGGGGGGCUCUUCCCCUAAUGUAUAUAUCCUACGGGGGAGUUCUGGCAUCUCCAUUUUUUUUUCCUGCAAAACAAUCAAAGACAACCAUCUCAAACAUUCAAAGACUUAUAAUUAAGUCGUCUGGCAAGUUUUCCAGCUGGAAGACUUUCCAGACGAAAGUCUUCCAAGACUUCCAGUUUUAUGUUCAUCUUUUCCCCAA
RNAcentral lists this long non-coding RNA (438 nucleotides) under Brassica napus (rape). RNAcentral describes it as "long non-coding RNA (BNAP_LNC016385)". Lineage: Eukaryota; Viridiplantae; Streptophyta; Magnoliopsida; Brassicales; Brassicaceae. The record is from RNAcentral.